CUCAGACAGACACACACUCCACCUCCUGCUAGGGACUGUUAGGGAAAAGCCAUUAACAGUGAGGAGAAACACAAAGUGCACCUUGAGAGCCGCUCAAGUGUUUGAACAAACAGCCGCCGCCACCGCCGCACAGAUCAAUGAUUUGUCUUUGCUCCAAAACACAUAAAGGGAUUGGCUGAGUUUAUGAUAAUAAAUCCCUGGAGCCGGAGGACACGACUGAGCCAUGGGAAUGCAACAGAAGGGAGCAACAUCAACCUCAUCACAGGAGAACAUGCAGCUUUGCAAAAAUAAUAAUUCACACUGUUUCUCUCUCAAGUCAGAAGAGUCUCCACAAUGCACAAAUAAUUGUGUUGACACUUGAAAGACAAAAAGGGAAAUGGGGAUUAAAUGAAGAGUUUGCACAAUGUGGAGUAGUCAAGU
This is a long non-coding RNA of Solea senegalensis (Senegalese sole), 420 nucleotides long. RefSeq lists it as uncharacterized. NCBI's taxonomy places the organism in Eukaryota, Metazoa, Chordata, Actinopteri, Pleuronectiformes, Soleidae. The record is from RefSeq and is a predicted model, not a curated record. The transcript is spliced from 2 exons.